Molecule: long non-coding RNA, 1920 nt
Organism: Peromyscus californicus insignis
Lineage: Eukaryota; Metazoa; Chordata; Mammalia; Rodentia; Cricetidae
Exons: 3
Source: RefSeq, a predicted model, not a curated record
CCAGAUCCCUCAAUAUCCCGGGGCUUCAGAGGACGCGCUGCGCCCCCCCCCACCCCCCCGCAUUCAGCCCUGAGUGACCCUCACCCACCCACAACUCAUACUUCUGAGCUCCAGUCUGCCUGCCCCUCCUGGUUAGAUUCCUCCGUUGGAUUUCUGUGGCUUGUCGCCACAGAUAAGGUCCUGGCAUUCAGACUCAUCUAGGUUCAAAUCCCAUUCCAGCUACCUUCUAGAAGCAGCCACUGGACUGUUGUCUAUUUUAAAAUAGCGACAAAGACUGGUUUGUGAGGCUCUGUGGAGUUUAGUGACAGCCCUUGUGAAGCUCUAUACUGUGUUAAUACCCAUAGACACUGGGAGAGACCUUCUGGGCAACUGAGUGACAAUGCAUGGGACAGAAGCACUGAGACAGCACCCUGCACCCCCAGGUCUCACCUGCACCCCCAGGCUUCACUUGCACCCCCAGGCUUCACCUGCACCCCCAGGCUUCACCUGCACCCCCAGGGCUCACCUGUACCCCCAGGCUUCACCUGCACCCCCAGGACUCACCUGCACCCCCAGGGCUCACUUGCACCCCCAGGCUUCACCUGCACCCCCAGGCCUCACCUGCACCCCCAGGGCUCACCUGCACCCCCAGGCCUCACCUGCACCCCCAGGCCUUAUCUGCAGGUCUUAACCCUGCACCCAGAGAUCUCACCUGUAGUUUUUUUUUUUUUUGGGGGGGGUGGUUUUUCCGAGACAGAGUUUCUCUGUGUAACAGCCUUGGCUGUCCUGGAUCUUGCUCUGUAGACCAAGCUUGCCAUCCACCUGCCUCUGCCUCCGGAGUACUCUCCUGUAGUUCUUAAUUCUGCACCCACAGGCUCUUGCUGAUGACAAGCCAGAGCUUUGCUUUCUGCAUAGAGGGUCCGAGAUGUUUUCUCUCCAGGAAACCCACUUGGUCCCUUCCGAUUGGCGCUCAUUCUUCCAUACCUGUCCUUUGUUGCUGAACCCAGGUCUGUCACCCAGAAGGUGCUUAUCAAGACACGGCCCUUAACCACAGGCUUUGAAGGUGCUGUUCCAGUGACUCACGCCUGGGAGGGGACGAUGAGCCUCAUUGAGUCUACCCACCUCCCCAAGAGAGCGGGACCUAGGCAAAGCUUCCGUAAGCAAGUGGACUGAGGGAAGAUUGGAGCCGAGAUAUCUGCUGAUGUCGGACUUCAGCAGUCUUCAAUUAGAAAUUAUAUUGAAGAUGGAAGAAUGACAUUCAUAAAAGCAACCAGAGCGGCAAGGUAUACGAGUAUUUAAGACCUUGGGGAAUUCAAUGUAGCAUCAAAAAGCCCCCCCACCCCAAACAACCGAUCCUUACUCGAGAGGGACUAGCCAAGAUCAGAAGAAUCCUGACAGUUAACAAGGAAGGGUCAGUGAGAUGGAUCAGUGAGUAAAAGCACCUGCAGCCAAACCUGAUGAUCAAAGUUCAAAUCCCCAGACCCACCCAGUAGAGCAUCGACUCCCACUAGAAACCUGACCUUCAUAUCUAUACCACGGCAUGGCAUGCAUGUCCACACAUGCACACCAGGUAACUAAAUGAAAGCUGUAAAGGAAGGAAGAAAAUUUAAAAAGCACGGGAGGAAGACUGGGAAAUGAAAGGCAGAGUUGGAUCUCCGUAUCUGGAUCUGUGCUUGGUUGACAAGUGUCUAAGCAGAAUGGCUCCCACCACCCACUCAUGUGGAUGAAACAAAUCUCAGCGAUGUCACUUCAGCCUGAAUUCCAGAGCAACUGAACUUGACUCCAUUGGCAGCUUAGCUUUACUCCUCUGACUUACCUUCCAGAAGAAUCUGAGAGGAUGCCUUUUUAUUUGUUUAUUGAGACAGGGUCUUAGUAUGUAGCUCUGGCUGCCCUGGAACUCACCCUGUAGAUCUGCCUGCCUCCACCUCCCCAGUGCUGGGA